AGCGUAGGCGGUUUAUUAAGUGGGAUGUGAAAUACCCGGGCUCAACCUGGGAAUUGCAUUUCAAACUGGUUGACUAGAGUGCAGGAGAGGAAAGUGGAAUUCCAAGUGUAGCGGUGAAAUGCGUAGAGAUUUGGAGGAACACCAGUGGCGAAGGCGACUUUCUGGACUGUAACUGACGCUGAGGCUCGAGAGCGUGGGGAGCAAACAGGAUUAGAUACCCUGGUAGUCCACGCUGUAAACGAUGAAUACUAGGUGUAGGGGGCGAAGCCCUCUGUGCCGCAGUUAACACAUUAAGUAUUCCGCCUGGGGAGUACGAUCGCAAGAUUAAA
RNAcentral lists this ribosomal RNA (329 nucleotides) under uncultured bacterium. RNAcentral describes it as "bacterial SSU rRNA". It matches the Rfam family "Bacterial small subunit ribosomal RNA", at positions 568 to 898 of the family's 1533-position model. The record is from RNAcentral.